Molecule: ribosomal RNA, 484 nt
Filed under: uncultured Desulfobulbus sp.
Lineage: Bacteria; Pseudomonadati; Thermodesulfobacteriota; Desulfobulbia; Desulfobulbales; Desulfobulbaceae
Description: bacterial SSU rRNA
Rfam family: Bacterial small subunit ribosomal RNA
Source: RNAcentral
CAAAGGAAUUGACGGGGCCCGCACAAGCGGUGGAGUAUGUGGUUUAAUUCGAUGCAACGCGAAGAACCUUACCUGGUCUUGACAUCCCGGAGACCCUUAGGAAACUAGGGGUGCUUCCAUCUGGAAGAAUCUGGAGACAGGUGCUGCAUGGCUGUCGUCAGCUCGUGUCGUGAGAUGUUGGGUUAAGUCCCGCAACGAGCGCAACCCUUGCCUUUAGUUGCCAGCAGUUCGGCUGGGCACUCUAAAGGGACUGCCGGUGUUAAACCGGAGGAAGGUGGGGAUGACGUCAAGUCCUCAUGGCCUUUAUGACCAGGGCUACACACGUACUACAAUGGCCGAUACAAAGGGCAGCGACACUGCGAGGUGAAGCCAAUCCCGUAAAAUCGGUCUCAGUCCGGAUUGGAGUCUGCAACUCGACUCCAUGAAGUUGGAAUCGCUAGUAAUCGUGGAUCAGCAUGCCACGGUGAAUACGUUCCCGGGCCUU